UACGAAGGUAUGCUUAAAGAGGGGCUUGCGCCACAUUAGUUAGUUGGUAGAGUAAAAGCCUACCAAGACGAUGAUGUGUAGCUGGACUGAGAGGUUGAACAGCCACAUUGGGACUGAGACACGGCCCAAACUCCUACGGGAGGCAGCAGUAGGGAAUUUUCGGCAAUGGAGGAAACUCUGACCGAGCAACGCCGCGUGAACGAUGAAGUAUUUCGGUAUGUAAAGUUCUUUUAUUGAAGAAGAAAAAGUAGUGGAAAAACUAUAUUGACGUUAUUCAAUGAAUUAGCCCNGGCUAACUAUGUGCCAGCAGCCGCGGUAAGACAUAGGGGGCGAGCGUUAUCCGGAAUUAUUGGGCGUAAAGGGUGCGUAGGCUGUUAGAUAAGUCUAUAAUUUAAUUUCAGUGCUUAACGCUGUCUUGUUAUAGAAACUGUCUUGACUAGAGUGAGAUAGAGGCAAGCGGAAUUCCAUGUGUAGCGGUAAAAUGUGUAAAUAUAUGGAGGAACACCAGAAGCGUAGGCGGCUUGCUGGGUCUUUACUGACGCUGAGGCACGAAAGCGUGGGUAGCAAACAGGAUUAGAUACCCUGGUAGUCCACGCCGUAAACGAUGAGUACUAAGUGUCGGGGUAAAACUCGGUACUGAAGUUAACACAUUAAGUACUCCGCCUGAGUAGUACGUACGCAAGUAUGAAACUUAAAGGAAUUGACGGGACUCCGCACAAGCGGUGGAUCAUGUUGUUUAAUUCGAAGAUACACGAAAAAUCUUACCAGGUCUUGACAUACUCUGCAAAGCUAUAGAAAUAUAGUGGAGGUUAUCAGGGAUACAGGUGGUGCAUGGUUGUCGUCAGUUCGUGUCGUGAGAUGUUAGGUUAAGUCCUAAAACGAACGCAACCCUUGUCGUUAAUUGCCAGCACAUAAUGGUGGGGACUUUAACGAGACUGCCAAUUAAACAUUGGAGGAAGGUGAGGAUUACGUCAAAUCAUCAUGCCCCUUAUGAUCUGGGCUACAAACGUGAUACAAUGGCUGUGACAAAGAGUAGCUGAAACGCGAGUUUUUAGCCAAUCUCAAAAAAGCAGUCUCAGUUCGGAUUGAAGUCUGUAACUCGACUUCAUGAAGUUGGAAUCGCUAGUAAUCGCGAAUCAGCAUGUCGCGGUGAAUACGUUCUCGGGGUUUGUACACACCGCCC
This 1183-nucleotide ribosomal RNA is filed under the name Brinjal little leaf phytoplasma. RNAcentral describes it as "bacterial SSU rRNA". It matches the Rfam family "Bacterial small subunit ribosomal RNA", at positions 207 to 1395 of the family's 1533-position model. Lineage: Bacteria; Bacillati; Mycoplasmatota; Mollicutes; Acholeplasmatales; Acholeplasmataceae. The record is from RNAcentral.